AUGAUAUAAUGGCAAUAUCUGGCGCUGACCAUGUUGGGUGAGUGAGUGAAACAUCGCUUUUGGAUAGUUUUCAGUUUAAUGUGGGGAGAAGCCCGAAUUGACACAGGGAUAUGACCAAAGCAAGAUGAAGAAAUGAUAAAUUUUUACCAGGAUGACAAAUAACGUCUGACAAUAUGUUAUUGAGUGAGUAUUACUGUGCUGUUCAAUGGACUCUUGUGAGUUGAGUUUUACGCCGCUUUUAGCAAUAUUCCAGCAAUAUCGCGGCAGGGGACACCAGAAAUGGGCUUCACACAGUGUGCCCAUGUGGGGAAUCGAACCUGGGUCUUCAGUGUGACAAGCAAAUGCUUUAACCACUAGGCUACCCUACCGCCCUGACAAUUGUAGUGCUAUAGGCACAGAGGCCUCCAAUUUAUGUGAGAAUGACAUGAUACAAAGCAAACAUCUGAACAUAUAUUUCAAUUUGACUUCUUUCUAUGAAGAAACAACAUUCCUUUCGACACACUGACUGAUUCAUGUGUAGUUUGUGCGACCGACUCGUUCAGAAAAUGACAAGAUUGAACACGAAAAAGGCACAAAAUAAAAUUCAUGAAAAGCUUACAUAUAAACAUCCUUUCGCAAUGAAAAUCCUUAAUUUGCUGAAACACUGUCAAUAACUAGUGAAUUCAAUUUAAAAAUAAUGAGUGAGUUUAGCUUUAAGCAGCUCUUAGCAAUAUUCCAGCAAUAUUACACCUGACACACAUUGUACCAAUGUGGGGAAUCGAACCCGGGUCUUCGGCGUGAUGAGCGGAUGCUUUAACCAUUAGGCUACCCCACCGCGAUGCUGUGAGCAAGACUUGCAUACCUAUCAGUAAGGUAGUGAUAACGUAAAGAGAGUAAAGACAGCUGGUUUCAGAUAUGUAAUCAUUGACUGAUGACGUGACCUUCACCUUGGUUAGAGAAUUUAAAGCACUUAAACACUGAUGUUGCUAACAGAAAUUUAAGUAGUUUAACACUAAACCAAGAAAUAUAUACCAGCUAGACCCCAAUCAGCAAAUACAAAAUAAUAUACACAAGACAAGAUUUUUCUAUUUUUUUUAUGACUAGUAUUUACUAUGCUGCUGACAUUAAAGCUCUGUACACCUAACACAAUACACUUGACUAAAUUCAUCACUUACUCAAAGGAAGCUUCAAAUCUUCAAAAAAAAAGAUAUGAAAACAAUUUGACCUAAUGCCGAGGGGAGGCUGGCUCAAUACUACCUCAAACACAUACAGUUACUGGUCAUCUUAAAGUCAUGAAGCCAAACCUGACCAUCAAGAAGAUGAGAACCAGUUCCCGAUUUCUCGAAACAAACUUAAG
Long non-coding RNA from Haliotis rubra (blacklip abalone), 1336 nucleotides. RefSeq lists it as uncharacterized. Lineage: Eukaryota; Metazoa; Mollusca; Gastropoda; Lepetellida; Haliotidae. The record is from RefSeq and is a predicted model, not a curated record. The transcript is spliced from 2 exons.